AUCGCUUCUCGGCCUUUUGGCUAAGAUCAAGUGCAGAAUAUAUAAAGGCUUCAAAAAUUUAACACCUAAA
This 70-nucleotide small RNA is filed under the name Marmota monax (woodchuck). Lineage: Eukaryota; Metazoa; Chordata; Mammalia; Rodentia; Sciuridae. The record is from RNAcentral.